GGAGAGAUGUCCGAGUGGUUGAAGGAGCACGCCUGGAAAGCGUGUGUAGGGGCAACUCUACCGGGGGUUCGAAUCCCCCUCUCUCCG
This 87-nucleotide transfer RNA is filed under the name Clostridium autoethanogenum DSM 10061. RNAcentral's name for it is "tRNA-Ser". It matches the Rfam family "tRNA". Rfam says of the family: Transfer RNA (tRNA) molecules are approximately 80 nucleotides in length. Their secondary structure includes four short double-helical elements and three loops (D, anti-codon, and T loops). Further hydrogen bonds mediate the characteristic L-shaped molecular structure. tRNAs have two regions of fundamental functional importance: the anti-codon, which is responsible for specific mRNA codon recognition, and the 3' end, to which the tRNAs corresponding amino acid is attached (by aminoacyl-tRNA synthetases). tRNAs cope with the degeneracy of the genetic code in two manners: having more than one tRNA (with a specific anti-codon) for a particular amino acid; and 'wobble' base-pairing, i.e. permitting non-standard base-pairing at the 3rd anti-codon position. Lineage: Bacteria; Bacillati; Bacillota; Clostridia; Eubacteriales; Clostridiaceae. The record is from RNAcentral.